AGAGAUUUAGGUUAACCAAACCAAGGGCCUUCAAAGCCCUAAACACGAGUCACCAACCUCCUAAUCUCUG
RNAcentral lists this transfer RNA (70 nucleotides) under Tarentola americana. Its description in RNAcentral is "tRNA-Trp". The record is from RNAcentral. Lineage: Eukaryota; Metazoa; Chordata; Lepidosauria; Squamata; Phyllodactylidae.